This 501-nucleotide ribosomal RNA is filed under the name uncultured bacterium. Its description in RNAcentral is "partial 16S ribosomal RNA". It matches the Rfam family "Bacterial small subunit ribosomal RNA", at positions 30 to 523 of the family's 1533-position model. The record is from RNAcentral.
AUUGAACGCUGGCGGCAGGCUUAACACAUGCAAGUCGAGCGGGGGAAGGUAGCUUGCUACCGGACCUAGCGGCGGACGGGUGAGUAAUGCUUAGGAAUCUGCCUACUAGUGGGGCACAACAUCUCGAAAGGGAUGCUAAUACCGCAUACGUCCUCCGGGAGAAAGCAGGGGAUCUUCGGACCUUGCGCUAAUAGAUGAGCCUAAGUCGGAUUAGCUAGGUGGUGGGGUACAGGCCUACCAAGGCGACGAUCUGUAGCGGGUCUGAGAGGAUGAUCCGCCACACUGGGACUGAGACACGGCCCAGACUCCUACGGGAGGCAGCAGUGGGGAAUAUUGGACAAUGGGGGGAACCCUGAUCCAGCCAUGCCGCGUGUGUGAAGAAGGCCUUAUGGUUGUAAAGCACUUUAAGCGAGGAGGAGGCUACUCUAGUUAAUACCUAGGGAUAGUGGACGUUACUCGCAGAAUAAGCACCGGCUAACUCUGUGCCAGCAGCCGCAGUAA